This 29-nucleotide small RNA is filed under the name Bombyx mori (domestic silkworm). RNAcentral's name for it is "ovarian small RNA-35390". The record is from RNAcentral. Lineage: Eukaryota; Metazoa; Arthropoda; Insecta; Lepidoptera; Bombycidae.
UGUACAAACAAACUUAAGUCUACUUACAC